AGAGUUUGAUCCUGGCUCAGAAUGAACGCUGGCGGCGUGCCUAACACAUGCAAGUCGAGCGAGAUUUAGUGUAGUGGAGACUUCGGUCAAAGUGAAACUAAUGAAAGCGGCGGACGGGUGAGUAACGCGUGGGCAACCUGCCCCAUACAAAGGGAUAGCCACUGGAAACGGUGAUUAAUACCUUAUAAGUCGGUAGUCUCGCAUGAGACAGCCGACAAAGAUUUAUCGGUAUGGGAUGGGCCCGCGUUUGAUCAGCUUGUUGGUGAGGUAAUGGCUUACCAAGGCGACGACGGGUAGCCGGCCUGAGAGGGUGACCGGCCACACUGGGACUGAGACACGGCCCAGACUCCUACGGGAGGCAGCAGUGGGGAAUAUUGCACAAUGGGCGCAAGCCUGAUGCAGCGACGCCGCGUGAGGGAUGACGGCCUUCGGGUUGUAAACCUCUUUCAGUAGGGAAGAAGCGAAAGUGACGGUACCUGCAGAAGAAGCGCCGGCUAACUACGUGCCAGCAGCCGCGGUAAUACGUAGGGCGCAAGCGUUAUCCGGAAUUAUUGGGCGUAAAGAGCUCGUAGGCGGUUUGUCGCGUCUGCCGUGAAAGUCCGGGGCUCAACUCCGGAUCUGCGGUGGGUACGGGCAGACUAGAGUGAUGUAGGGGAGACUGGAAUUCCUGGUGUAGCGGUGAAAUGCGCAGAUAUCAGGAGGAACACCGAUGGCGAAGGCAGGUCUCUGGGCAUUAACUGACGCUGAGGAGCGAAAGCAUGGGGAGCGAACAGGAUUAGAUACCCUGGUAGUCC
Molecule: ribosomal RNA, 794 nt
Filed under: uncultured bacterium
Lineage: Bacteria
Description: bacterial SSU rRNA
Rfam family: Bacterial small subunit ribosomal RNA
Source: RNAcentral